This 368-nucleotide unclassified non-coding RNA is filed under the name uncultured fungus. Its description in RNAcentral is "sequence contains ITS1". The stretch from base 1 to 107 matches the Rfam family "5.8S ribosomal RNA", at positions 50 to 154 of the family's 154-position model. Lineage: Eukaryota; Fungi. The record is from RNAcentral.
GAAAUGCGAUACUUGGUGUGAAUUGCAGAAUCCCGUGAACCAUCGAGUCUUUGAACGCAAGUUGCGCCUGAAGCCACUAGGCCGAGGGCACGUCUGCCUGGGCGUCACGCAUCGCGUCUCCCCCAACCCACCCUGUGUGGCAAAGGGGGAGGAAGAUGGCUUCCCAUUCCUCACCGGGCAUGGUUGGCCUAAAUAAGAAGCCUUAAGUUACGAACUUCUACGGCUAUUGGUGGUACCACAAGGCUUAGCCUCGGUGUAUCGAGCCGUGAAGUACGUAGCUUCUAUGGGCUUGCAGGACCCUGAGUUAUCUCCUUGUUGGGAUUAACCGUUGCGACCCCAGGUCAGGCGGGGUUACCCGCUGAGUUUAA